GGAAGAGCCUCUGCCUCUGGGAGAGUUCAUAGACUAUUCUGAAUGUAAGCCAAUUCUUUGUACUUUUUGUUUUUGUUGCUGGGGAUUGAACCCAGGGCCUCCCUACCACUGAGCUGGCUACAUGACCACUCUCUGUGUUUUUGUUGUUUAACUUUAUCAACCCCUACAACUCACUUGUUCUUAUCUAUAUCCUAAGCCAAUACAAUCUUGUUUAAUUAGAGUAAGAGUAUAGUCUUUGCCAUUUUUAAAAGAGGCAGUCCAUAAUACAGAUUUUAUUACCUGUGUCAUAACACAUACACCAUUUUUUUUCAUGUUAAAUUACAAAUCUUGGCUUCUCAGUACACUACAAAAGGACUAAGUAACCAUCAAUCAUGGACUUUACCUAUGUGAGGUUAGGUUCUAUCACCUUACAGAGAAAUCUGUUAGGAACAAUAUGCAAAUUUUUAUUGAUAUUUUCCCCCUCUUACCCUUCAUCUCUAUGGACAGGAAUUGGUUAUAGUGUAGACUGCAUUGCACAAAGGCCCUUACUAAGGCUUUUAGAUCACAGGUUCUAAUCUAGAAUCAUGGGUUGUUAUUAGGAGGUACAUGCAGCUUUUGUUAUUGUAUAUAUUUUUCUGAGAAGAAAGCUCAAUGUUUUCAUCUCAAAAGUAGUACAUAAGACCUAAAAAUGAUCAACUAUCUACCAUUGACUACUCUAAGGGAAAUGGAAAGCUGUUCAGAUUAAGCCAUAUCACUGGAAUCUGUUUCUUUUUUAGGUGUUUCUUCAUGUGUUUAAUAAAUGUUUGCACACUUGUUCUGGGCACUAUUCUAAGUGCUGAGAGUACAGUGGUGAAUAAGAUAGGCAAGAUCCUCUCCUCAUUUUUGUAAUCUCAUUUUUUUGGAAGGAUAUCCCCAAUAGAUAAUGAGAAUUUCAAAUAAUUUUAGAUGGAACUUUAAAUAAAUAGCUUUUAGAUGGUAUGAGAAAUAACUUUUAGAUGGUAAGAGAAAAAUAAAACAGUGAGUUUGAUAAUAACUGGAGGUGAAGUAGGC
RNAcentral lists this long non-coding RNA (1029 nucleotides) under Marmota monax (woodchuck). Lineage: Eukaryota; Metazoa; Chordata; Mammalia; Rodentia; Sciuridae. The record is from RNAcentral.